UACAGAGGUCCCAAGCGUUGUUCGGAUUUAUUGGGCGUAAAGGGUGCGUAGGCGGCGGUGUAAGUUGGGUGUGAAAUCCCGGGGCUCAACCUCGGAAUUGCAUUCAAUACUGCUUCGCUCGAGUACUGGAGAGGAGACUGGAAUUUACGGUGUAGCAGUGAAAUGCGUAGAUAUCGUAAGGAAGGCCGGUGGCGAAAGCGAGUCUCUGGACAGUUACUGACGCUGAUGCACGAAGGCCAGGGGAGCAAACGGG
RNAcentral lists this ribosomal RNA (253 nucleotides) under uncultured bacterium. Its description in RNAcentral is "partial 16S ribosomal RNA". It matches the Rfam family "Bacterial small subunit ribosomal RNA", at positions 524 to 776 of the family's 1533-position model. The record is from RNAcentral.